Cercocebus atys (sooty mangabey) is the source of this 6728-nucleotide long non-coding RNA. RefSeq lists it as uncharacterized. The transcript is spliced from 2 exons. The record is from RefSeq and is a predicted model, not a curated record. NCBI's taxonomy places the organism in Eukaryota, Metazoa, Chordata, Mammalia, Primates, Cercopithecidae.
CAUUCUAGCCUGGGCAACAGAGCGAGACUUGGUUGAAAAAAAAAACAAGAGAGAGAAAAAUAGAAUGAUUUUCAUCCUUGCUCACUGAAAACAACAUCACAGGGCAGGACAGAGGCUGAGAUUAUUAAGGAAUCACACAAAAGACCAGCUGUGAUGGUUAGAUUUAUCAGCAGGCAUGUGGCUUAUACCUGCCAUCCCAGCUAUGUGGAGCCUGAGGCAGGAGGAUCACUUGAGCUCGGGAAUUCAAGGCUGCAAUGAGCUAUGAUCAUACUCCAGCCUGGGGGAGUGAGACUUAUCUCUAAGUAAAUAAAUAAAUGUAAUGAGCCAGCUUGGCUAGGCCAUGGUGUCCAGGAGUUUGGUCAGACACUCUAGGUGUUUCAGGGAAGGUAGCAUGCAGAUGUGGUUAAGCUCCACAAUCAGUUAACUUUAAGUAAAGGAGAUGAAUGUAGGUGGGCCUCAUCCAGUCAGUUUAAGGCCUGAAGGGCAAAAACUGAGGUUCCCUGGAAAAGACGAAAUUCUGCCUCAAGAUUGUAACAGAGAAAUCAAGUCCUGCCUGAGAUUCCAGCCGUCUGGCUUGCCCACCAGGUUUUGAACCUGGCAGCCUCCGCAGCUGCCUGAGCCAGUUUCGAAAGUUGAAUCUCUUAACGUGCAUACACAAAUAUGGGAUAGGCUCUGCUCUCCUGGAGAGCCCUGAGUGGCAGCCUUCAGUGCCACAAAGCAGAGGGCGUGGGAGGGACAGGCGGGUGUCUGGGGGAAGUGGUAGUGACUGAGGGUCCACAGGGUGGACAGGUGAUUGGGCAGUGAGUGUGACAGCCUGCCAGGCAGGGGAAGCUACAGGUGUGAAGGGCUGUGGGGACAGUAGGUGAGUCCAAGGAACUGAAAGAAACAAAAUCAAGUGGAUUUGUAAGACUGCAGCAGCACUGGCAGGCAGGGGUGGGCCAGGCAAGAUCUGGUGGCCCGAUGAGGUCUGGACAAACCUUCUGGGAGCCACAUGAAGCCCUGGAGGAAGGCCCGAGGGAGAGAGGGGACUGGGGACAGGCAGUGACUGCCUUGGUGCCCUCCCUGUUGGACAACCAAGGGCUGGUGGUCUCUUGCUUCUGUCGAAUGGCCCCAUCCACACAUUAGCUGUGUCCUGGGGGUUUCAGUAAGUCUCUGUCCUCUUGUCCCUUCAGCCCUAGGGCUGGAAACAGCCCCACCAUUUCCAGUCCCAGGGACUGCACCAUCUUUGCUGUUUCCCACACCACACUAUGACUUUGUGAAUAACCUUUCAACUCAGCUCCCCUCCACUGCCCACUUUUAAUGCACCAUCUGUGUCCUGCCAGCACCAUGACCAGUCCAGGUGACCCCACAGACCUAACUCCAAGGGGCACAGCUGACAACGUUCUCUAAGCAAUGAGUGCCCCAGGAGCUCUGCUCCACAGAAAGCCAUGCCUCCAGCCCCACCCCGGAGACCCCUCUGAGGCGCUGGCCACCUCAGAGGAUUUGCAAGAAGCGCAUGAGUCAGCUGGAUGCCCUGAGCUCUGGCCUCGCCUCCACCUUGGGUAGCUGCUCUCGCUAGAAUCUGCCCAAACUCUGAUCCAGCUGCUGCUGGGGCACUCACCCAUGGGGAGAUUUCGUCAUCAGGCUCAUGACACUGAUAGGAUCUUUGGCAGGGAUGGCACCAGGGGAACCCUUGGACCACUCAGCCAAGCUCAACACAUUCCAGGUCCGACCAGGGGGACACCCCAAGCACCCUGUCCCCUAGGCUCCCUGAUGACAGCACCAGCCCCUCCCACAGAAAUGUAGUCAACACCAGUAGAGCCAGAGGGCAAGGUCCCCUUAGCCCGCCCAAGGCUGCUCCAAUCAGUGCCUGUGGCUUGACCACCGCCCACUCCCUGCCCACUCCCAGGCCCCUCUGGGAGUUUGAUCUGCUGGGUCCUCUCCUGUUGUUCUCCGACUCCUGCCGGGCUUAAAUAUCAAAGAAUCCUCAUUGUUUGAUAAUUCUGCAGACAAAAGCCCAUGGAAUAUCUCUAACUCGAUCCGGGCCUCUGGUCCGCUCUCCUUCUCCCUAUCUCCUGCCUCCCCACCUUAUCUGUGCGUGCCUGACCCAUCCGUAGCUCACACAUUUCUUUUGUGCGGAUGCCUGGCUAAAGUCCCCAGGGGCUCUUUGGGCAGGCAUUUGUUCUUUGGGCAGAGAAGGAAGUUGGGCUUUGAGAGACUACGCAGUAUUUUAGGGACUAGCUAGAGUACAGUUCCAGGUCCUAUGAGGGAGGUGAUGCCAUAAUCCCAUUUUACAGAAGGGGAUGCUGAGGCCCUUGGGCAUCAGUAGCUUACUCCAAGUCAUGUGGCUAGGAAGGGGUGAGGGCUGAUUCCUGAGCCUGCUCUUCCAUGCUUCACUUCUGUACCUCUCACCCAGCUAUCCAAGCAUGCCUGCGAUGCUUCAAGAACAUAGCUGGCAGCAUGCGUAUCUUCACUGCUAGAUAGCGAAGCCACAGACUAGGCCGGCUCCAGGAUCCAGCCCAGGGCAGUUCACACAUAGAAAUCUGCUCAUGAGGGACCAGUGCCUCCCAGGACAUGACGCCAAGGGCCGUAGCGAUCCACAAGUGGCAGGUGAAUGACAACCCAAGGGAGAAGGAAGGCUGUGUAAGGCAGGUGGCCAUGGAGGCAGGAGGCUUAGCACUGACAGAGGAGGGCAGAAGGGGAGGGUAAACCAGGCCUGUGCCCAAAAAAGCACAUGGUGGUGAUGAUGGAGACAUCGGUAUGUUUCAGCAAACAGGAUGUCCUUCAGAGUGGCUGCUGUGGGUGGAGUUGGAUCAUGGAAGUCCUGAGGAACACGGACUUGGGGACUGAAGGCAAGGGGGUGCCCGGCUGGCUUGUGAGCAACAGACAGCAGUGAUUGCAACUGGCACAUGGUGGCUGAACUGGAGAGGGGUGCACGGGACACCCUGUGGGAGUUGAGAGAGUGGCCCAGUCUGUGACUUGGGAAGCCUGUUUCCUUUGGAGCCUCUGUUUCCCUGCUCCUUUCUGCAUCAACGCCUGCCCAUUUCCCCCACAGCCCAGCAGUGCCAGCAGGUUGGGAGAACCCUUCGAUGUGCUUCCAAAUCUUCCUCUUUGCACCUUGGUGCCUCCUGUUUGUUCCUUUGCUGGGGAACUUGGGGGAAAUAAAAAGAUUCCCCUGAAGCACAAAUAGUGGCUCAGAGUAGGCAGUGUGGAGAAGUGCCCCAGAGAAACACGAUUAACCAGGAUUAGGAUCACAUGAGAAGGAGGCGAAUAUGUUUUCAUAUUCACAGCCUCACAAAAAGAAUUUAAAUCCACAAAUCUUCUUAUGUGUGUGGAUUGAGGAGUGCUAAAUUUGGAGUCCCAGGACAUCCAAAUGACAUUAGAAGCGUGUAAUGUGGCUAGGAAUUCAAGCGGUUGCACCAUAGGGCACUCAGGCUCACACCUGUCCCAGAACAAAGGAUUUCUCCCCAUUUGGGUGGUGCAGGAGGCUGAUAAAAAAGAAACAAUUCAGAGUUCCUAAUGCCCCUUGCACCUGCCCUCAGGCAUCUGUCGCUGGUUCUAAAACCCUCAGCAUAAAGGAAGGGCUGGGGGUGUGGCCGCUCUGGAGCUGAGAUUCACAAUCUGACAUGUGGCUUAAAGAGGCCCCUUCCUCCCUAGUCCCUGACUUCAUGGAAAUAUUUUAACGCUACUGAUUUUCAGGGGCAUCCAGGAGGCGCCUGAGGGAGCUGAGGGGCAACCUCUAGCGGUGUUCACAACGGGGAUUAAGAUCACAUUAUAAACCCAGCUGCGGCGAUGGUGAGGCGCGCAGCACCCUCCAGGGUUCUGGGAUGGGUGGGAACGUCAGGCGACAGCAGGCAUUUGGCAUGAACCAUCCCAUCCCCAGACACUGAAGGUUGGAGGGGUGUCACGGUGUCCAGUUGGAUCACAGGACUAACUGCCCUGGCCCAGGCCCAGCUGCACACCCAUCCCUGGGCCUCAGGAGAGGAAGGGUAGCUCUCAUCAGAAAGGGCCCAGUAGUCAGGAAAGGAGGGAGACCUUGCCCUCUUGACAAGGGACUGCCAAGCUGUCCACCGGGAGGACCGAGAGCUGUCCACGGGUGGCCGGAGCAGAUGGGCAAGGAUGGGCACCACGGGUCCAGGGCAUGUUCAGAGCAGCUGAAGCGUGGCGGUCCUGGUGAGGCUCGGGAUGGAAGAUACGAGAGGACACUGGGCAGCUUGGGCCUGCAGAGGCCCAGCAAGCAGAUAGGAGAGCAGGGGCCCGUUCUGAACAGGAGGCAUUCCCAGAGCCUGUCCCUGGGGGACAGGAGGCGUGGACUAUGGAGAGAGUGAGAUACUAGUAUUGAUGUCUCCCCAAGUGUGCCCUCAGCUCAUGAGUCCUGGAGAUGGCUGGGGAAGAAAGCACUGGGUCCUGUCCCUAAAGUGCACCAAGUCUGCACCAGGCACCAAGUCAGCACUUCUCUCAGGUUGCUUGUUUGACCUCAACAGCUUUACCAAGGGGGUGAUAUGUUCUCUUUCAAAGUGAAGAAAUGAGGCUAGGCGUGGUGGCUCAUGACUGACAUUGCAUACUUACAUAUAGCGGAAAGGAUUCCCCGAGCAACUAAGUUUCUUGAACUCAAGGGCUUUCUUAGUUCCCUACUGUAUUCCCAGAGGAGUGACUCUACACUCUCUUUCACAAUCACCUGGAAAGUAGGCAUUAUCCCCAUUUUAUAGAAGAGGAAACUGAGGCUGAGAAGUCCAGUGAUUGCAAUUUACCCAAUUUAACCCUUAGUUAAAUUGUUAGAGGUAGGAUUCAGAUCCAGAUAUGUGCAAUGCUAAUGCAUUGUUUGCAGACAUUCCUCCAUGAGUUUCUUGCAUUCCUGCACAUCUUGCUGGGUAGACAAAGAAUGCAAGGCUCUGACUGCUCUGUACCUGGGUUGCAUUUGCAGCAACCAAUCCUGAGACAUGCGGUAAUGUAUCCCUCUGGGACAAAAAGCUGGCUUGCUCGCUGUCUGUCACAAGAUGGUGGAUCCCCCAAGCUUGGUGUUCCUGUCCUAUAUCGUAACCCAUUGCAUGUGCAGGCAUCUAUAUGGGCCCUCUGCAUGCCCACUAUGGCACUUAGGGGGUGAAGGGGAGCCAACACAAAAGCUCACGCCGCUUUUGAACUGCGAAUAAUAAAGUCAAGAACUCUCUGAGUUUUACCGAAUAGAGAAAGUGGUCAUGUUGCGCCUGAACUGCUGUGGAGGGCACACGCUGUGUCUUAUUUAGCCUUAGUACUCUCGGUAUGUGCCCCUGGCCCCAGGCCCCUCUUAAGCACUUGUUUAAUUGACAGGCAGACACAUGGAUUACCCAAUGGUGCUGAAUGAUAAUGGGCUUGCUGGUCAACCACUGAGCUGCCUGCUCCUUGGAGGGAAGCUGCAGGGCUGGGCUCCGAGUCACACAGCACAGGCGUUUUUUGAGCCUUCCUUACAAGAACUCUUCAGGAGCUUACAGGCCAGAAACCAGACAGAAUUGCUUUCUGAGUAUUAUUUUUCCAGCUGAGUAAGAUGCAGUUAAUGGAAGGCUUAAUAAAUACUUCUGAGCCCUGUGGAAACAGAGACAUUCUGCUGCUUCUGGAAAUGAGUUUCUGGUUCUGCAGCCACAGGUCUCAGGUCAAGGAGAGGUGAGAAUGGGCGGAAGCUCUGGUCUAAAUGUCCAAGACAGGAUCACCAAGGUACUGCCCCCCUUUCUAGGACAUCUCUUUGCUAAGAGCCAGAGGUCUACAGAAUCAAAGGGGAGCUGACAGAAGCCCAGUCCCCAUGCCUGGCUGCUACCUGCCUUCGAGGCAAAAAGGUUGUAGCGUUUCCAGACCACAGGAACAUACAGAUGACCACACCUUUCUGUCCCAUUUUCAGAGUCUCCAGGAGGGGGCGAGACUUGCCCAAGUUUGUACACUGGCCGAGGUGGCACUCAGAUGAGACUACAGCACAUGAAGAGGCACCUGGCCCUGCUGUGGAGCCCAGGGGUCUGGUUCCUAGAGAGCCUGGAGCCUCAGAGCAACUUUCCUGGGACGGGGACCGGGGCCUCUGCCGGCCAUAAUGGGCUCAAUCCUGAACGCUGGUGUGUGGACGCUCUGGGAUUGUCCAGGCCACGGCACCCAACGGGGAUGGGGCUAUUUUUCCCAAAUACCACCCCUCUUCCGAGUUCUUGGACCCAGGAGCCCUUCUUUUUUAUCAACUGAUAAAUCUAUGUGAGCAAAAUCAACACAGAAAACAAAGUCAGAGAGAACCUGGGGCCCCUAACUCCUCAGCAUGUCUCUUCCAGCACACCCAGCCCCACGAACCGCUCCCCCAGGAACUCGGCUGGUGCUAACACCACCCUGUGAUGAAGGAGGGACCUGAGUCCGCACACAGGGCCCUAAGCCUAAUGGCUGUGCCCAGACAGAGGUCCGGAGGUCUGUCAGCCACUGCACCCCCACCCAGCCACUGUCUGCCUGCUGCACCUCCCUCCCUGAGCUCAGCACAAGGUCGGCAGUGUAGUUUCCAAAACUAUUUCUUCUCCUAUUUCUGUGGUUUUUUGAAUCCGGGUUCCUGCUCUGCCUGGAAAGACGGGCCUGACAUAGUGGACUGCAGUGUGCUGAGAACUCACAGCUCUAGUUAAAGAAGGUAUUUUGAGAAUACAUACAAAGCAAGAAGAUGAAACCAUUGCAAGCUUCAUCAAAGACAGAAAUUGUGCAAAGAGGAUUAAGGACUAAGACAAGUAGUUUCCUAUUAUACACCUUUCUUCUGCCCCAUG